Molecule: ribosomal RNA, 2838 nt
Filed under: Faecalibacterium prausnitzii
Lineage: Bacteria; Bacillati; Bacillota; Clostridia; Eubacteriales; Oscillospiraceae
Description: 23S ribosomal RNA
Rfam family: Bacterial large subunit ribosomal RNA
Source: RNAcentral
AGGUCAAGCGAACAAGGGCGCAGGGCGAAUGCCUUGGCACUGGGAGCCGAUGAAAGACGUGAUAAGCUGCGAUAAGCUUCGGGGAGCUGCAAAUAAGCAUUGAUCCGGAGAUUUCUGAAUGAGGAAACUCACCUGGGUUCAUACUCAGGUACGUUAUACUGAACUUAAAAAUAGGUAUAUCGAGGGAACCGCCUGAACUGAAACAUCUAAGUAGGGCGAGGAAGAGACAUCAAACGAGAUUCCGUAAGUAGUGGCGAGCGAACGCGGAAGAGGGCAAACCGGGAGUAGAAAUACUUCCGGGGUACGGACUGCUUUUAGGACUUAAUCUGUUAACCGAACGGCAUGGGAAGGCCGGUCAGAGAGUGUGAGAACCACGUAGGUGAAAACGGAGAGAGCUGCGCAGGAUCCAGAGUACGGCCAGACACGUGAAACCUGGUCGGAAUAUGGGGGGACCACCCUCCAACCCUAAAUACUACCCAGUGACCGAUAGCGUAUAGUACUGUGAAGGAAAGGUGAAAAGCACCCCGGGAGGGGAGUGAAAAAGAACCUGAAACCCUGUGCCUACAAGCACCUAGAGCACGUCAAUGUGUGAUAGGGUACUUUUUGUAGAACGGUCCGGCGAGCGAUUGUAUGCAGCAAGGUUAAGGACUUAAGGUCUGGAGCCGAAGCGAAAGCGAGUUUGAAAAGGGCGUUAAGUUGCAUACAAUGGGCCCGAAACCGGGUGACCUACCCAUGGUCAGGUUGAAGUGGAAGUAAAAUUCCAUGGAGGACCGAACCGACCUCCGUUGAAAAGGCGGCGGAUGAACUGUGGGUAGCGGAGAAAUUCCAAUCGAACCCGGAGAUAGCUGGUUCUCCCCGAAAUAGUUUUAGGACUAGCCUCAAGUUAGAUACCUGGAGGUAAAGCACUGAAUAGCCUAGCGGCCGAGAGGUUAGCGAAGCUUAUCAAACUCAGAAUGCCAGAGUAUUGAUGCUUGGGAGUCAGACAGUGUCAGAUAAAUGUCAUUGUCAAAAGGGAAACAGCCCAGAUCUACAGCUAAGGUCCCAAAGUCAGGUUAAGUGGAAAACGAUGUGAAGAUACGUAGACAACCAGGAUGUUGGCUCAGAAGCAGCCACACAUUCAAAGAGUGCGUAAUAGCUCACUGGUCGAGCGUCUUUGCGCGGAGAAUUUAACGGGGCUAAACCUGACACCGAAGCUUAGGCAAUACAGCAAUGUAUUGGGUAGGGGAGCGUUGUAUACGCGGUGAAACAGUAGCGCAAGCGGCUGUGGAGUGUAUAGAAGUGAGAAUGCCGGAAUGAGUAGCGCGAAUGCAGUGAGAAUCUGCAUGGCCGAAAGCCUCAGGUUUCUGGAGGAAGGUUCGUCCGCUCCAGGUUAGUCGGGAGCUAAGGUGAGGCCUAACGGCGUAGCCGAUGCACAGACGGUAGAGAUUCCGUCACCACCAAAAGAGUUAAACACAGGGACACAUUUGAAGUCUCGGAGCCGGGUGUUGGUUCCGGUAGCGAUCGAGGGAAGUUAGUACCGAAGUCCGGGAUGGAAGAUGGCGAGAAAAGCUGUGUGUAUUUCUGCGGUGCCCGUACCGCAAACCGACACAGGUAGGUAGGAAGAAGAUUCUAAGGCCAACGGGAGAAGGGUUGUUAAGGAACUCGGCAAAUUGACCCCGUAACUUCGGGAGAAGGGGUGCUCCAGAGAUGGAGCCGCAGAGAAUCGGCCCAAGCAACUGUUUACCAAAAACACAGGUUUGUGCUAAAUCGAAAGAUGACGUAUACGAGCUGACGCCUGCCCGGUGCUGGAAGGUUAAGAGGAGAUGUGCAAGCAUUGAAUCGAAGCCCCAGUGAACGGCGGCCGUAACUAUAACGGUCCUAAGGUAGCGAAAUUCCUUGUCAGGUAAGUUCUGACCCGCAUGAAAGGCGUAAUGAUUUGGGCACUGUCUCGACAGCCCGCCCGGCGAAAUUGUAGUACCGGUGAAGAUGCCGGUUACCCGCGACAAGACGGAAAGACCCCAUGGAGCUUUACUGUAGCCUAAUAUUGGGUUUCGAUGUUGCAUGCACAGGAUAGAUGGGACACAGGGAAACAAGUGCUUUGGCAUUUGUGGAGUGGCCGUUGGGAUACCAUCCUUGCGAUAUUGGAAUUCUAACCUGCGCCUUUGAAUCAAGGCGGGGGACAUUGUUAGGUGGGCAGUUUGACUGGGGCGGUCGCCUCCUAAAGAGUAACGGAGGCGUUCAAAGGUUCGCUCAGCUUGAACGGAAAUCAAGCAAAAGAGUGCAAACGCAGAAGCGAGCCUAACUGCGAGACUGACGGGUCGAGCAGUAACGAAAGUUGGAGUUAGUGAUCCGGUGGUAUGUGAGUGGAAAUGCCAUCGCUCAACGGAUAAAAGUUACCCUGGGGAUAACAGGCUGAUCUCCCCCAAGAGUCCACAUCGACGGGGAGGUUUGGCACCUCGAUGUCGGCUCAUCGCAUCCUGGGGCUGUAUUCGGUCCCAAGGGUUUGGCUGUUCGCCAAUUAAAGCGGUACGCGAGCUGGGUUCAGAACGUCGUGAGACAGUUCGGUCCCUAUCUGUCGUGGGCGCAGGAUAUUUGAUGGGAGCUGUUCCUAGUACGAGAGGACCGGAGCGGACGUACCUCUGGCGCACCAGUUGUUCUGCCAAGGGCAUAGCUGGGCAACUAUGUACGGAUCGGAUAAACGCUGAAAGCAUCUAAGCGUGAAGCCGACCCAAAGAUAAGAUAUCCCAUUGUUUCAAACAAGUAAGACCCCUUGAAGACUACAAGGUUGAUAGGCACGAUGUGUAAGUGGAGUGAUCCAUUCAGCAAGCGUGUACUAAUAGGUCGAGGGCUUGACCACAA